RNAcentral lists this ribosomal RNA (253 nucleotides) under uncultured bacterium. Its description in RNAcentral is "partial 16S ribosomal RNA". It matches the Rfam family "Bacterial small subunit ribosomal RNA", at positions 524 to 776 of the family's 1533-position model. The record is from RNAcentral.
UACAGAGGUCUCAAGCGUUGUUCGGAUUCAUUGGGCGUAAAGGGCGCGUAGGCUGCGGGGUAAGUCGGGUGUGAAAUCUCAGAGCUCAACUCUGAAACUGCACUCGAUACUGCUUUGCUUGAGGACUGGAGAGGAGAUUGGAAUUCACGGUGUAGCAGUGAAAUGCGUAGAUACCGUGAGGAAGACCAGUGGCGAAGGCGGAUCUCUGGACAGUUCCUGACGCUGAGGCGCGAAGGCCAGGGGAGCAAACGGG